RNAcentral lists this ribosomal RNA (723 nucleotides) under soil fungal sp. DM2-432. Its description in RNAcentral is "eukaryotic LSU rRNA". It matches the Rfam family "Eukaryotic large subunit ribosomal RNA", at positions 195 to 939 of the family's 3401-position model. The record is from RNAcentral. Lineage: Eukaryota; Fungi.
ACAGGACGCCUUAGAGGGUGAGAGCCCCGUACGGUUGAAUGCCUAGCCUCUGUAAAUCUCCUUCGACGAGUCGAGUAGUUUGGGAAUGCUGCUCUAAAUGGGAGGUAAAUUUCUUCUAAAGCUAAAUAUUGGCCAGAGACCGAUAGCGCACAAGUAGAGUGAUCGAAAGAUGAAAAGCACUUUGAAAAGAGGGUUAAAUAGCACGUGAAAUUGUUGAAAGGGAAGGAUUUGUGACCAGACUUUUUCUGGGCGGAUCAUCCGGGGUUCUCUCCGGUGCACUUUGCCCAGUAAAGGCCAGCAUCGAUUUUCGGCGGCGGAUAAAAGCAGUGGGAAUGUGGCUCCCUACGGGGAGUGUUAUAGCCCAUUGUAUAAUACGCUGCUGGGGAUCGAGGUACGCGCUUCUGCAAGGAUGCUGGCGUAAUGGUUAUCAAUCACCCGUCUUGAAACACGGACCAAGGAGUCGAACAUUUAUGCGAGUGUUUGGGUGUUAAACCCUCACGCGUAAUGAAAGUGAACGGAGGUGAGAGCCCGUACGGGUGCAUCAUCGACCGAUCCUGAAGUUUUCGGAUGGAUUUGAGUAAGAGCAUAACUGUUCGGACCCGAAAGAUGGUGAACUAUGCGUGGAUAGGGUGAAGCCAGAGGAAACUCUGGUGGAGGCUCGCAGCGGUUCUGACGUGCAAAUCGAUCGUCAAAUCUGCGCAUGGGGGCGAAAGACUAAUCGAA